GUCCAGGGUUCUGCAUCGGGUGCAGUUGGAACAGAAGGCCCACCGUUUAAAAAAAGAACCCAAAGUGUCUGAACCGCCUUUAUCAGAGACGUGCUGAUCCUGAAGUGGCUUCCUCCCAGGCCCCCUCCUGCGACGCUGGCUUCCUUGCCGAGUGUUCCCCACCUUCCUGCCCUCCCCCCCCCCCGUGCGCCUGGAAUCUGCGACUUGCGUGGACGCUGUGUGGUCACUGCCGCUGCCUGUGAUGUCCGUGGGCAGGGCAGGGUCCUUGGUGGCUCUUAGCCCCGUGGGCAGGUUCCCUUGUUCUGGAGGGAGUUUGCUGGAGGGGCUGACACAGGGAGGGCCCUGGUGGGCCUGGCUUGCAGCCUGCCUGUGGAAGGCCUGGGGCAGCGUGACGUGCCCGUGUGGUGACAGGAGGACCGCACCCUGUCGUGAGGGUCCUGUGCCCCUGCCCGCCUGCCCCACCUGGCCCUGGCCCCUCUGCUCCCCGCUGCCCCUGCAGACGGCUCGGUCUGUGUAGACCAUUUACAGAUGGGUCUUCCCGGGGGUGCCCUUCUCCUGGGCCCUCUGAGUGUUGCUGAGGGGCGUUGUUGGUGCAGUUGAGGGAGGAGUCCGGGGUGCACUGGCCAGGCUCUGUCCCUUGCCAUGGGACAGUUCGGCUCUUUCCAGCGUUUCACAGUCGGCCUGGUUGGUUGGUCGAUGCCUGCACCGGCACCGCCCAGCUGCGGGGCUUCGUUCUCUUUUCCUCAGUUACUUCAGUGUCUUCUGGACUCCCCGAUUGGGAAUGUCUAGAGUUGC
Molecule: non-coding RNA, 795 nt
Organism: Vicugna pacos (alpaca)
Lineage: Eukaryota; Metazoa; Chordata; Mammalia; Artiodactyla; Camelidae
Source: RefSeq, a predicted model, not a curated record